This 66-nucleotide transfer RNA is filed under the name Bacteroidales bacterium. RNAcentral's name for it is "tRNA-Lys". It matches the Rfam family "tRNA", at positions 12 to 71 of the family's 71-position model. From Rfam's summary of the family: Transfer RNA (tRNA) molecules are approximately 80 nucleotides in length. The record is from RNAcentral. Lineage: Bacteria; Pseudomonadati; Bacteroidota; Bacteroidia; Bacteroidales.
UAAGGCUUUCUGAACAGCAGCUGACUCUUAAUCAGCGGGUCGCAGGUUCGACCCCUGCAUCAUCCA